This 71-nucleotide transfer RNA is filed under the name Loxodonta africana (African savanna elephant). It matches the Rfam family "tRNA". Rfam says of the family: Transfer RNA (tRNA) molecules are approximately 80 nucleotides in length. Their secondary structure includes four short double-helical elements and three loops (D, anti-codon, and T loops). The record is from Rfam by way of RNAcentral. Lineage: Eukaryota; Metazoa; Chordata; Mammalia; Proboscidea; Elephantidae.
GCAUUGGUGGUUCAGUGGUAGAAUUCUUUUUUUUUAUGCAGAACACCUGGGUUCAACUCUUGGCUGAUGUA